GGGUUCACGGUGGAGUGCCUCCGCGCCCCACAGGAGCGCCCCGGGAGCUGAUGACCCGGGAUUGCAGGCUGCGGCUGAGCCUGGGGCCGCGCGCACAAAGGCACGGGCGGGAAGGGAGCCGGCACGGGGGAGUGCAGCGUACCUCGCCCGGCAACCGCUCGGCCACUCCGUCUCCGCGUGCUGCUCGCUGGCCGCCGCCUGGGGAACGCGGGUCAGAUCCGAUGCGGGGCUUGUGCCACAGUUGCUGCCGGGGAUCCCGCGCCGCUCAGCCGACCGUGCGUUCAGUGCACCCACACCGCGUCCGCCGGCUGGGCUCCGAGUGCGCUGGCUAGAGGCGCGGCGGCGGCGCGGCCACUCCCCUCUCCCGGCGGGGGCGGCGACCUCACCGCCCGGACGCGCCCCUCGCUCCCUGGCCGCGGUUCACCCAGGCGCGCAGGCCGCACAGCGCCCCCCGGUGAGCACCCGGCGGGCGGGGACACCCAGGAAAGCGCACUGGCCCUUCACCUUGGCCACUGCAUGAUCCGCGAACUGCAGACCAGAGAUGCAGAGCCGAACAGCUGCAAGAGCCUGGGCGCGAACCUCAGCAGAGAGAAUAUUCUUCUCCACAUUGCCUACCCUCCUAGGUCCAAGUUUGGGUGCCCAAAAAUAUCACAAAAUGACAAUUUAAUGGAAGAGAAAAUGGCCUGCCAUGUGAGGCUUUUAUUGUCUCUGUCACUGACAUACAUAUUGAAUAUACCAUUAGGUACUGAGCAAUGACUGGCAAUCACUUGGCCAUGGUAGAGGGUCUGAAGACUCAGGACUCCCAGCUUCUCACUCCAGGUGUCUUCACCACGCUGGGAUUCGGGACAAGCCACAUGACCCUGGGUCUGGCUUGUUCCUGGAAGAGCACAGGCCCCAGGACUUCUCAGAGGCUACCAAGACCCUCCUCUACAAACUGACCUGCUGGGAAUUCUAGCAUCAUUGACGGAACCAGCAUCAGUUAGGUCUUCAGUCGGCAUGGUAAUGGUUUAAGCUAACAUAUUUUGAGUAGUGGAUACAAUUUUAUUUAAUCUUCACAAAAACCUGUGAGCUUAUAUACAACUAUGGAGAACCUCCACAAAUUCUUUGGUACACCUCUCAUUGAGGAGUGCCAUUUGAUUGCCCUCCUCUUGAAUACAGGCUGGACUGAAUUCUAACAAAUGGGAUACAGUUGGUGGUAUGACCAACCCAGCUCUCUCUCUCUCUCUCUCUCUCUCUCUCUCUCUCUCUCUCUUUCUCUCUCUCUCUCUCUCUCUCUCUCUCACUGUGAGGGAGCACACAGAAGCCAGGUAUAGCCAUAUAUUCCAGACUAAGAGUGCCCGCAUCUGCUCACUGUCCCAGCCAUGUGGCUGUGUGAGCCUUAAAGUUGACUUAGUCACAGUCACCUUAUACUACAUGAAGUAAGACCUAGAGUGAAACCCCAGCUAACUCAAGUCAGUCUCCAGAAACAUGAAGUGAAGGAGGGUUUGUCAUUGGUGACUUGGCCUAGUGGUAGCAUAAAUGAUUGCCUCCACCACAGCUGACCAAACAAGCUACCCUAGACCUUGAUAACUUAGUACAGUAAAGACACCGCUCUCAGCUUCCAGAGAAACAAAAUAUAGACCUACUACAUGGCAACAUGUUUUAAUAUGUGCCAGAUCUUUGGUUCCAUCUGCUUAUAGCAACUGGGCAGCAACAGGACCUCUGAACCCUCCUGGCCAAUCUAUCUUCUUCAAAAUACAAUGACAGGUUCAUAAACUAUAAGUCAGUGGCUUGCAGAGUAGGGACAGGAAACUUUUGAGUCAGGAGUCUGUGUAUCAUAGACUGGCUUCAAACUUACUGUAGCCUAUGAUGAUUGAACACAUCUCCUUUGCCUGUGCUCACCUCGAGUGCUUAGGACUGCAUGCAGACCCCCUGUUCCAUGCAGUGCUGAAAAUAAGUCCAGGCCUUUACAUGUGCUCAGCAGGCACUCUACCAACUCAGGUGAAUUCCCAGACUAAAAACUUUUGAUUGCCAGAUUUCGGUGAAGAGUUAAGGCAAUGCUCAGUGCUCUAUUUGGAGCAAUAAGAGGAAGUCUUAAGGAUGCCUGCCCUAAGGAGAGAUGGGAACCUAGCUAGGCUAGAAUACUUCUGAUCUCUUGUAGCAGGGAAAACUGAAGCUUACUUCCUGCUUUUAUGUAGUUCUUUAAAAAAAAAGUACUAGGAACUGUUGGCUUCAUCUAAUAAAGACUGAGAAAAUUAACCAAGAAACUACUAGAAAACCUUGCAAAGAUCAGCCCCAGAGCAUGUCACAAUUAUUUUUAAAAACACUAUUAGCCUAGUUUUCAUAAACCCCAAGCUUUCUGAAGACAGACUAUAACAUAAGGGUUUGAAAUCACUUUACCUUCCUGAUUGUACUUCUUAAAAGCCAAUCAAUCAAGAGAUUUUAAGAAAAGAUUAAAGCUGUCCUAACAGUUGUCAAAAGUUGAUAAAUCCACCAACUACAAAGUCUUCCCCCCCCCCAAACUUUCUCUUUGGUCUUUUUGGAGGAAAUAGAAUGUAUAAAGAAAGACUAUUGGUAAGAGUUCAAGGUGGAAAACAUAAAUUAGCAAGUCCCAGGAGUAAAGGCAUCUAGGGCCUGAGCUUCACCCAACAGACCAGAGCGCAGGCUCCCACAACAGUGGAGAAUUGCCAAGCUGUGUCAAGCAGAGAAUGAAAGUGUUCAUGCCUGUAGGAUUUCUUCUCUUUAAAAACAUUUUUAGGAGCCAGGGAGAUGGUUCAGUGGGUAAAGCACUCUGGCAGGUCUGCUAACCUAAGCUCAACUCUUGGAACCUAACUAAACUGAAGGAGAGACAGGACCCCAGAAAGUUGUCUCCAAACUCCCCAAGUGACCCCUGGAACUCCAGUGCCUCCCCCAACAAUAACAGUAAUGAAUAAGUAAAGUUUUUUUUUUAAUAGCAUAAAAUGUUUUUCAAGGAGUUCGAAAGAAAAGUGACAGAACCGCAAAACCUGUUCCUGCCUUAUUUUGGCAUUAGAAAGCACAAGCGUGGGCUAGAUGUCAGAAUUUCAGAGUUCUUCGGUGUUCCUGGUUGAGCUGGCUUUGCAACUUGAGCCAGAAGACUCACUUCUCUGCCUCUGCUGGUUAGUUUUUUGUCAACUUGACACAAGCUAGAGGCACUUGGGCAAAAGAGACCUAAACUGAAAAAAAAAAAAAAAAGUCCCCCCUGGAUUGGCCAGUUAGGCAAGGCUGUGGGGCAUUUUCUUGAUUCUUGAUUGAUGUGAGAGUGUCCAGCUCACUGUGGACAGUGCCAUCCUAGGCUAGUGGUACCAGGCACUACAACAUAACAAGCUGAGCAAACCAUAGGGGUCAUGCCAGGAAGCAGCACUCCUCCAUGGCCUCUGCAUCAUUUCUGCCUCCAGGUUCCUGCCCUGUCUUCCCUCCAUGAAGCUGAAUAAAUCCUGUCCUCCAAGUUGCAUUUGGUCAUGGUGUUUUAUCACAACGAUAGAAAUUGUAACUAAGGCAUCGUCUUAAUCUUUUAUAACUAGCAGAGAACUUCUGGCUGUGCCACAGUCUCUCUCCUCAUCUGCCCACUUAAAUGCUUAUUUUAUUUAUUUCAAGCUCAUGUGGAGCUGAGCAUGUGUGAAGCCCUAGGCUCAUUCUUAACAGUGUAUGAAACAGGGGUGAUUAGUGCAUCAGCAUGCAGUUCACUCAGGAGGUGAACACAGGGAAAGCAGAAGUGUCCAGUCAUCCGAGGCUACACAGUGAGUUAGGAGCCAGUCUGUGGUACACAGACUCCUGUCUCAAAAGUUUCCUGUCCCUAUUCUCAAAGCUUAUUCAAAGCUCAGACUCCUCUUUUCCUGAACAGGGGUGCUAAGGUAAAUCCUGCUGUCUGCAUAAAUCCAUCUUGAUCCUGCAUUUGUUCAAAGUUGUGAACUCUACAUGCUUGUAUUCAUUUGAAGGUUGGCUUCUCUAACUGAGUAAUAUCAACCUGCAUAUCAGACCAGCCAAUCAAUCUGCAAACACCAAAUCCCUGGAAAUACCACUUUUUACACCCAAGAAAAUGUCUUAGUUAUUAUUUUAUUGU
Mus musculus (house mouse) is the source of this 4060-nucleotide long non-coding RNA. RefSeq annotates it as predicted gene, 33795. The record is from RefSeq and is a predicted model, not a curated record. The transcript is spliced from 3 exons. Lineage: Eukaryota; Metazoa; Chordata; Mammalia; Rodentia; Muridae.